UAGAGGCCCCGCUGAGGAGAGGUGUUCAUGCAGAAGUCCAGCAAAGUGAAGUCGCUGUACUGUUUUGUUUUUAUUUUAAACAGUUAUGGGAGAAUAAAUCCGCCCAGCUGGCAAAGUGAGAGCUGACUCCUCUGGUCAUUCAUACAACACAACGCAGAGAACUAACGGCAAUCAGAGUUUAAGGCCAGACCGGCUACAGUAGCACCUUUGCUCAGGUGUAAUUGGUUGCAAGUGUGGUGUAAACAAAAAAGUAUACCCACUGUCACCAAGCAAUAAUCCAGUAUGAUCUCCUCACGUGAGUCACAUGAACUGAGCAUACAACGAUGAGUUAAGUAAAAUCUGGGUGGCAACUUUCAGCAUUUACUUUAUGCACUUGAGAACUGAUGUGGGCAAGACUGUAGCACUUCUGUUUGUGAGUGUGAGUGUGUGUUUUAGUGUAUACAUAUGAACCUUAAACCUGAUUGCAGCUUGUAAGUGAAGCUGUUAAAGCUGUUGAUAUCUGAAGAAUAGCAGCGUUCUGUCAUUGUCUUCUUGGCCUCAACAUACAGUUCAAUUGAAUUCAAUUAAGUUUCAUUUAUACAGCACCAAAUCAAAAAAAGAUUUGCCUCAAGGUGCUUCAUACUGGUAGGUAAAGUCCCAGUACAAUAAUACAAAGAAAAUAGAGAAACCCCUCUAAGCAAGUGCUUUGUCGACAGUGGGAUGGAGAAACUUUUGAAUGAACAUUUUUCAGAAGCUUUUCCCUGAAAUCAGGUUGCCUCAUCACUUUCUUCCAUAAAAUCAGUUAUGGGAAUUGCAUGUGAAGAUAUGUAAGCACACAUGGUGGCAGACCAUCUGUGUUGGGGUACAUGAAAGUGUCUCCUUUACUUUCCCUCUCCUCUAUUUAGACAGUCAUCAAAUCCAGCUGUGCACCUAACUGCCCACAACAUAGCACUGUGGGUAAGGACCAGCACAGUCACAGCACUCGUCUCUGCACCAAGUAAUCAUAAACAUCUGCAGUGCUGAAACUACAGAAAAACAAUAUAUGUAAUAGACAAGCACUGGUUGUGAGAAAUAGUCCAGUGCUCCAGCUCAGAAAUGAACACUUCUCCAAAUCUAUCGAUGUGUUAAACAAUUUUUAGCAUUUAUAUCAUUAACACUUUUCUUCUGUACAUGGACAUUUCCACUUUUUAAACAUUUUUUUCCUGCUGUGAAAAAAUGUACUUGUGCUUCCUGAUUUCUUAGUUUUUGUGCAUAUUUGUCACACUUCCAUGUUACAGAUGAUUAAACAAAUUUUAAUAUCAG
Molecule: long non-coding RNA, 1281 nt
Organism: Oreochromis aureus
Lineage: Eukaryota; Metazoa; Chordata; Actinopteri; Cichliformes; Cichlidae
Source: Ensembl